This 497-nucleotide ribosomal RNA is filed under the name uncultured bacterium. Its description in RNAcentral is "partial 16S ribosomal RNA". It matches the Rfam family "Bacterial small subunit ribosomal RNA", at positions 28 to 507 of the family's 1533-position model. The record is from RNAcentral.
GAUGAACGCUGGCGGCGUGCCUAAUACAUGCGAGUCGAGCGAACAGAUGAGGAGCUUGCUCCUCUGACGUUAGCGGCGGACGGGUGGGUAACACGUGGAUAACCUACCUAUAAGACUGGGAUAACUUCGGGAAACCGGAGCUAAUACCGGAUAAUAUAUUGAACCGCAUGGUUCAAUAGUGAAAGACGGUUUUGCUGUCACUUAUAGAUGGAUCCGCGCCGCAUUAGCUAGUUGGUAAGGUAACGGCUUACCAAGGCAACGAUGCGUAGCCGACCUGAGAGGGUGAUCGGCCACACUGGAACUGAGACACGGUCCAGACUCCUACGGGAGGCAGCAGUAGGGAAUCUUCCGCAAUGGGCGAAAGCCUGACGGAGCAACGCCGCGUGAGUGAUGAAGGUCUUCGGAUCGUAAAACUCUGUUAUUAGGGAAGAACAAAUGUGUAAGUAACUAUGCACGUCUUGACGGUACCUAAUCAGAAAGCCACGGCUAACUACGUG